RNAcentral lists this ribosomal RNA (468 nucleotides) under uncultured bacterium. RNAcentral's name for it is "partial 16S ribosomal RNA". It matches the Rfam family "Bacterial small subunit ribosomal RNA", at positions 28 to 507 of the family's 1533-position model. The record is from RNAcentral.
GACGAACGCUGGCGGCGUGCUUAACACAUGCAAGUCGAACGGAAAGGCCCUGCUUUUGUGGGGUGCUCGAGUGGCGAACGGGUGAGUAACACGUGAGUAACCUGCCCUUGACUUUGGGAUAACUUCAGGAAACUGGGGCUAAUACCGGAUAGGAGCUCCUGCUGCAUGGUGGGGGUUGGAAAGUUUCGGCGGUUGGGGAUGGACUCGCGGCUUAUCAGCUUGUUGGUGGGGUAGUGGCUUACGAAGGCUUUGACGGGUAGCCGGCCUGGGAGGGUGACCGGCCACAUGGGGACUGAGAUACGGACCAGACUCCUACGGGAGGCAGCGGUGGGGAAUAUUGCACAACGGGCGGAAGCCUGAGGUAGAAACGCCGCGUGCGGGAUGACGGCCUUCGGGUUGUAAACCGCUUUCGCCUGUGACGAAGAGUGAGUGACGGUAAUGGGUAAAGAAGCACCGGCUAACUACGUG